CCUCUUUUCUCAAGGAAGAAGACAUGACGGUACUUGAGGAAUAAGCCACGGCUAAUUCCGUGCCAGCAGCCGCGGUAAUACGGGAGUGGCAAGCGUUAUCCGGAAUUAUUGGGCGUAAAGCGUCCGCAGGCGGCCUUGUAAGUCUGUCGUUAAAGCGUGGAGCUUAACUCCAUUUCAGCGAUGGAAACUACAAGGCUUGAGUGUGGUAGGGGCAGAGGGAAUUCCCGGUGUAGCGGUGAAAUGCGUAAAUAUCGGGAAGAACACCAGUGGCGAAGGCGCUCUGCUGGGCCAUAACUGACGCUCAUGGACGAAAGCCAGGGGAGCGAAAGGGAUUAGAUACCCCUGUAGUCCUGGCCGUAAACGAUGAACACUAGGUGUCGGGGGAAUCGACCCCCUCGGUGUCGUAGCUAACGCGUUAAGUGUUCCGCCUGGGGAGUACGCACGCAAGUGUGAAACUCAAAGGAAUUGACGGGGGCCCGCACAAGCGGUGGAGUAUGUGGUUUAAUUCGAUGCAACGCGAAAAACCUUACCAGGGUUUGACAUCCUGCGAAUCCCUUGGAAACGAGGGAGUGCCUUCGGGAGCGCAGAGACAGGUGGUGCAUGGCUGUCGUCAGCUCGUGUCGUGAGAUGUUGGGUUAAGUCCCGCAACGAGCGCAACCCACGUCUUUAGUUGCCAGCAUUCAGUUGGGCACUCUAGAGAGACCGCCGGUGAUAAACCGGAGGAAGGUGUGGAUGACGUCAAGUCAUCAUGCCCCUUACAUCCUGGGCUACACACGUACUACAAUGCUACGGACAAAGGGUUGCAAGCUCGCGAGAGUUAGCUAAUCCCAUAAACCGUGGCUCAGUUCAGAUCGUAGGCUGCAACUCGCCUACGUGAAGGAGGAAUCGCUAGUAAUCGCAGGUCAGCAUACUGCGGUGAAUACGUUCCCGGGCCUUGUACACACCGCCCGUCACACCAUGGAAGUUGGCCAUGCCCGAAGUCGUUACUCCAACCCUUGUGGAGGAGGACGCCGAAGGUGGGGCUGAUGACUGGGGUGAAGUCGUAACAAGGUAGCCGUACCGGAAGGUGCGGCUGGAUCACCUCCU
This 1086-nucleotide ribosomal RNA is filed under the name Cyanobium sp. ULC184. RNAcentral describes it as "bacterial SSU rRNA". It matches the Rfam family "Bacterial small subunit ribosomal RNA", at positions 430 to 1531 of the family's 1533-position model. The record is from RNAcentral. Lineage: Bacteria; Bacillati; Cyanobacteriota; Cyanophyceae; Synechococcales; Prochlorococcaceae.